Oryzias melastigma (Indian medaka) is the source of this 782-nucleotide non-coding RNA. NCBI's taxonomy places the organism in Eukaryota, Metazoa, Chordata, Actinopteri, Beloniformes, Adrianichthyidae. The record is from the annotation of a RefSeq genome assembly.
AUGAACGUCUUCGCCUCAGCUCUGAUUUUACUGUGGACUUCAGGUCCCAUCGAUGCCAGAGAAGUGGAGCAGCCUUCCCAGCUGUGGAGACGCCAGGGAGAAAAUGCGAAAAUCGACUGCAACCACACUAAAGGUGCUGGCUACUACCAGAUGUACUGGUUCAGACAGCUGCCCGGGGAGAGCAUGGCGCUCGUCGUGUUCACUGUGGCGGGGAACGACAAACACGACUUUGGAGAGUUCAGCACGAAGAAGUUCUCAGCCUCGAAGCCGGACGCUCUCAGUGGAAGCUUGACGGUGCUGAAGGUGGAGCCGGCGGACCAGGGGGUGUACUUCUGUGCUGUCGGCGCACAGUGCUGCAGAAGAGCUCGCCGCUUCAACAAAAACCUGAGCCGACGGUUAAACCCAACAAUCGCAAAUCAAUGAGGCUGCUGCAUCCUGCAGCUGUGACCACAUCAAACCCACAGGAUCAUUUAUGGAACGUUCGGGUUAAAGAUUCUGGUUUGAUCUGAAUAAAACGAUCAACAGAUUUACAGAAAACAACAAAAACAAACUAUCCAGUGAUGAAAACACUCACUGAAGCUGUUAAGGACAAAAACUGUGUAAGAGCUGCAAAUAUUACGUCAACAAAUUAUACAAUAAUAACUUGUUACGGUGAUUAAAUUCUAACAAAAUAACAAUUUUGUUUGUUUUAAAAAGUAAACAAACACAAAAAUCAGCUUUAAGACUUUCAUUAAAAAGAAAAAAAAAAUUAUGAAAUUCCUGAAAAUUUAAACUAAAGGAGC